UACGAAGGGGGCAAGCGUUGUUCGGAAUUACUGGGCGUAAAGGGCGCGUAGGCGGCUUACCAAGUCAGGCGUGAAAUUCCCGGGCUCAACCUGGGGGCUGCGCUUGAUACUGGUGAGCUUGAAUGCGGGAGAGGAUAGUGGAAUUCCCAGUGUAGAGGUGAAAUUCGUAGAUAUUGGGAAGAACACCGGUGGCGAAAGCGGCGCGCUGGACCUCUUCUGACGCUGAGGCGCGAAAGCCAGGGGAGCAAACGGG
Molecule: ribosomal RNA, 253 nt
Filed under: uncultured bacterium
Lineage: Bacteria
Description: partial 16S ribosomal RNA
Rfam family: Bacterial small subunit ribosomal RNA
Source: RNAcentral